This 942-nucleotide ribosomal RNA is filed under the name uncultured archaeon. RNAcentral's name for it is "bacterial SSU rRNA". It matches the Rfam family "Archaeal small subunit ribosomal RNA", at positions 1 to 922 of the family's 1478-position model. The record is from RNAcentral.
UUCCGGUUGAUCCUGCCGGACCUUACUGCUAUCGGGGUGGGACUAAGACAUGCGAGUCGAGCGUCUCUAGCUAUGUUGAGACGCGGCAGACGGCUCAGUAACACGUGGCUAACCUACCUUCAGGACGAGGAUAAACCCGGGAAACUGGGGCUAAUACUCGAUAGGUGAGGAUGUCUGGAAUGACUUCUCAUCCAAAGGGCAUUGGAAACAUGCUUUCAAUGUCGCCUGGGGAUGGGGCCGCGUCCGAUCAGGUUGUUGGUGAGGUAACGGCUCACCAAGCCUAUAACCGGUACGGGCCGUGAGAGCGGUAGCCCGGAGAUGGGUACUGAGACAAGGACCCAGGCCCCACGGGGCGCAGCAGUCGCGAAAACUCCGCAAUGCACGAAAGUGUGACGGGGCUACCCCGAGUGCCAUCCGCUGAGGGUGGCUUUUCUUUGGUAUAACUAGCCAUGGGAAUAAGGAGAGGGCAAGACUGGUGUCAGCCGCCGCGGUAAUACCAGCUCUCCGAGUGGUAGGGAUGAUUAUUGGGCUUAAAGCGUCCGUAGCCGGCUUAGCAAGUCUCCUGUUAAAUUCAGCGACCUAAUCGUUGACCCGCGGGAGAUACUACUAGGCUAGGAGGCGGGAGAGGUCGACGGUACUUCUGGGGUAGGGGUGAAAUCCUAUAAUCCCGGGAGGACCACCAGUGGCGAAGGCUGUCGACUAGAACGCGCUCGACGGUGAGGGACGAAAGCUGGGGGAGCGAACCGGAUUAGAUACCCGGGUAGUCCCAGCCGUAAACGAUGCGAGCUAGGUGUUGGAAUGGCUACGUGCCAUUUCAGUGCCGCAGGGAAGCCAUUAAGCUCGCCGCCUGGGGAGUACGGCCGCAAGGCUGAAACUUAAAGGAAUUGGCGGGGGAGCACCACAAGGCGUGAAGCUUGCGGUUCAAUUGGAGUCAACGCCGGA